AGUUUGAUCCUGGCUCAGGAUGAACGCUGGCGGCGUGCCUAAUACAUGCAAGUCGAGCGAACCACUUCGGUGGUGAGCGGCGAACGGGUGAGUAACACGUAGGUGAUCUGCCCAUCAGACGGGGACAACGAUUGGAAACGAUCGCUAAUACCGGAUAGGACGAAAGUUUAAAGGUGCUUCUGGCACCGCUGAUGGAUGAGCCUGCGGCGCAUUAGCUAGUUGGUAGGGUAAAGGCCUACCAAGGCGACGAUGCGUAGCCGACCUGAGAGGGUGAACGGCCACACUGGGACUGAGACACGGCCCAGACUCCUACGGGAGGCAGCAGUAGGGAAUCUUCGGCAAUGGGCGAAAGCCUGACCGAGCAACGCCGCGUGAAUGAUGAAGGCCUUCGGGUUGUAAAAUUCUGUUAUAAGGGAAGAACGACUUUAGUAGGAAAUGGCUAGAGUGUGACGGUACCUUAUGAGAAAGCCACGGCUAACUACGUGCCAGCAGCCGCGGUAAUACGUAGGUGGCGAGCGUUAUCCGGAAUUAUUGGGCGUAAAGAGCGCGCAGGUGGUUGAUUAAGUCUGAUGUGAAAGCCCACGGCUUAACCGUGGAGGGUCAUUGGAAACUGGUCGACUUGAGUGCAGAAGAGGGAAGUGGAAUUCCAUGUGUAGCGGUGAAAUGCGUAGAGAUAUGGAGGAACACCAGUGGCGAAGGCGGCUUCCUGGUCUGUAACUGACACUGAGGCGCGAAAGCGUGGGGAGCAAACAGGAUUAGAUACCCUGGUAGUCCACGCCGUAAACGAUGAGUGCUAAGUGUUGGGGGUCGAACCUCAGUGCUGAAGUUAACGCAUUAAGCACUCCGCCUGGGGAGUACGGUCGCAAGACUGAAACUCAAAGGAAUUGACGGAAGGGCGAA
Molecule: ribosomal RNA, 900 nt
Filed under: uncultured bacterium
Lineage: Bacteria
Description: bacterial SSU rRNA
Rfam family: Bacterial small subunit ribosomal RNA
Source: RNAcentral